UACGGGGGGGGCAAGCGUUGUUCGGAAUUACUGGGCGUAAAGGGCUCGUAGGUGGCCAACUAAGUCAGACGUGAAAUCCCCAGGCUCAACUUGGGAACUGCGUCUGAUACUGGAUGGCUUGAAUUCGGGAGAGGGAUGCAGAAUUCCAGGUGUGGCGGUGAAAUGCGCAGAUAUCGGGAGGAACACCAAUGGCGAAGGCAGCUCGCUGGGACGUUACUGACGCUGAGACGCGAAAGCGUGGGGAGCAAACAGG
RNAcentral lists this ribosomal RNA (253 nucleotides) under uncultured bacterium. Its description in RNAcentral is "partial 16S ribosomal RNA". It matches the Rfam family "Bacterial small subunit ribosomal RNA", at positions 524 to 776 of the family's 1533-position model. The record is from RNAcentral.